Molecule: ribosomal RNA, 147 nt
Filed under: Triticum aestivum (bread wheat)
Lineage: Eukaryota; Viridiplantae; Streptophyta; Magnoliopsida; Poales; Poaceae
Description: partial small subunit ribosomal RNA
Source: RNAcentral
CCCAACCCUCUCCACCCCAUCUGGGUCCGGGAGGACCAGCAGGUGCUCGGCUACCUGCUGAGCAAUCUCUCCAAGGUGGUGCUCGUCACGGUGACCACGAUCACCACAGCGCAGGCGCUCCGGACGACGCUGGAGGGCAUGUACUCG